UGGAGUCUUCGAGAGUGGUGCUAAGUUUCGCAGCAGAUUCCAGUAAGGAAGGAAUAUUAGAAACUUUAUAAAGAUAACUCCGUUCUUUAAGCAAAGUUACCAAAUGCAUAUAGGUUUUUGAAGAAUUGAAGAAUGAUGCAGCGAGCUCUGGUAGUAGUUGUUGUAUAUAUGUACUUUCAUAAAAUAUAGCGCUUAGGUGAGUCCAGAUCUGUUGAAUUUCUUUCCAAAUAUUCAAAAAUUUUACAAUAAUUUUCAUUUUUGAUUGAAGAUCUGUAAUAUUCAUAUCCCCAUCUUUGAAGUGCCUAGACGUUUUUAUUAAAUUAAGAGAAUCCAUGUUUUUUUCAACAGCAUCAAUUAACUCCUGACAGCCAACAACAAUAUAAUUUCUUCCUUUAAAACUUUUGAAAGAGAAAUAUGAAUUUUUCCAAAAACUAUGGACUUCAUUAAAUUGAUUCUCUAAAUUAGCCUCUACCACUGCCGAGUUUAGUAAAGUUGUGAUAAAACUUUCAUGAGCUUGCAAAUCAAUUCCCAAAAUAUCAGAAACUAGUAACUUCUCAAAAUCUAAUUGCUCGGUACUUUUAGUAAUUUCAAACAGGGAAAUCCAAUGAACGGGUUUAAGGGGACAGCUUUUGAGUUUUUGCAAUAACAAGGUACAAUCCUUUAGUUGAUUUAAAGAUUGUUUAGUAUUUGUAAACAAUUUAAAGUGUUGGAAACUGGUAUGAACGCUUUCUAGAGCAUUUAUUUGAUGUGUUGUCUGAACUGACAAAGUAGCUGUAUCAAAUAAUUUCCAUCUUGUAUUUUUUAUCUCGACUAUAAACUCCAAGU
This is a non-coding RNA of Schizosaccharomyces pombe (fission yeast), 825 nucleotides long. The record is from the annotation of a GenBank genome assembly. Lineage: Eukaryota; Fungi; Ascomycota; Schizosaccharomycetes; Schizosaccharomycetales; Schizosaccharomycetaceae.